GGGUGUGUAGUUCAAUUGGAUAGAGCAUUGGGCCUUUAACCCAUUGGUUGUAGGUUUGAAUCCUGCCACACCCACCA
RNAcentral lists this transfer RNA (77 nucleotides) under Nanobdellota archaeon. Its description in RNAcentral is "tRNA-Lys". It matches the Rfam family "tRNA". From Rfam's summary of the family: Transfer RNA (tRNA) molecules are approximately 80 nucleotides in length. Lineage: Archaea; Nanobdellati; Nanobdellota. The record is from RNAcentral.